AGUGGUUCAGAGCUGCAGGGGUGUGAGGGACCCGACUGCCCAGGAGAGAUGACUGCCCAGGAGAGACGCUGGCCUUCUGCUCACUUAGCCUUGAGCUCCCACCCCACCUGCCCCAAAUCCCUGCUCCGUCCUCUCUUUCCCCAUCUCCUCUUGGUGACAGAAUAUAUUCCUAGUUCUCUCAUUCUCACCAGAAUAGGAGGGUCUGCUGAGAACAUCUAGAGGAAUAAGCCUACCUUUCACCCCACGUACUACAUAACACAACUCCAGGGGUGCUGUCCCCAUACACUUGCAUGGUGCUAAUGGUGGCCGUGAAGGAGGCGACUCUCCCCAGAGCUGAAAGCAGAGAUCCUGAUGCCCUAGGGGAUGUUGGAGCCAGAGGAUGGAAAGAGCCUGAGUCCCUGAAUCAUCACAUGGAGGUCAACCAUGUUCUUGCCAACAAGAACACCUCAAUUGUAUUCAUAUGUGAGAAAUAAACUUCUUUUUGGUUG
Vicugna pacos (alpaca) is the source of this 488-nucleotide non-coding RNA. Lineage: Eukaryota; Metazoa; Chordata; Mammalia; Artiodactyla; Camelidae. The record is from RefSeq and is a predicted model, not a curated record.